Ictalurus punctatus (channel catfish) is the source of this 647-nucleotide long non-coding RNA. The record is from Ensembl. NCBI's taxonomy places the organism in Eukaryota, Metazoa, Chordata, Actinopteri, Siluriformes, Ictaluridae.
CAACUGACAAGGUAUCAACACACACCAAAGACAACUCUGCAACAUGGUGCACGUAGCAGGAUCCACUCUCUGGAUGCAUAUCUUGAUCCUUCUUGGCUGCAGCUUAAUGAGGCAAACUCAUUCUCACCCAAAUACACUCAUUGUUCUUAAAGAAGUAUCAUCAAAGCUCAGUGAAGCCUAUAAACAACAAAUCAACCCCAAGUGUCCACCAAUGAACCUCACUGGGAUAUCAAGCAAUAUCACCGACUCUGCUUGUGCCUUCAGCAAAUAUCUCGAAUGUCUCCUUAAGAUGGAUUAUGUCAGUCAAGACAUCAUGAAGGAAACCAACGAACUGAAACGUCAAUUCAAUUCCUGUUUCAAGACAUAUGGCUGUAGUAAUAAUACUUCAAUGUUAGAUAAAAGAAUAAAUGAUGGAAAUUUUUAUAAUAAAAAAUGUCUGGGUUUAGAUGUCCUUAGGAAUUUAGCAUCAUGGUUGAAAGUGAAUAAACAACACAAAUGUGUUGGAAAACACUGAAGCUAAAAUUCCUCAACGUUUUGUGCUAAAUUAUUUAGGUAAAUUAUUUAAUUUAUUAUUUAUUAUUGAUUUAUUCUAAACUGGAAUAUCCUUGUUUGAAUGCAAUAUGCCUAAUGCAAAGACAAAAUAAAUG